RNAcentral lists this non-coding RNA (169 nucleotides) under Oryza brachyantha (malo sina). RNAcentral describes it as "Bacterial large subunit ribosomal RNA". It matches the Rfam family "Bacterial large subunit ribosomal RNA", at positions 2103 to 2269 of the family's 2925-position model. Lineage: Eukaryota; Viridiplantae; Streptophyta; Magnoliopsida; Poales; Poaceae. The record is from Rfam by way of RNAcentral.
ACUGUUCCCUGGGAUUGGCUUUGGGCCUUUCCUGCGUAGCUUAGGUGGAAGGCGAAGAAGGCCCCCUUCCGGGGGGGCCCGAGCCAUCAGUGAGAUACCACUCUGGAAGAGCUCGAAUUCCAACCUUGUGUCAGACCUGCGGGCCAAGGGACAGUCUCAGGUAGACAGU